RNAcentral lists this ribosomal RNA (775 nucleotides) under uncultured Pseudonocardia sp. RNAcentral's name for it is "bacterial SSU rRNA". It matches the Rfam family "Bacterial small subunit ribosomal RNA", at positions 8 to 796 of the family's 1533-position model. The record is from RNAcentral. Lineage: Bacteria; Bacillati; Actinomycetota; Actinomycetes; Pseudonocardiales; Pseudonocardiaceae.
AGAGUUUGAUCCUGGCUCAGGACGAACGCUGGCGGCGCGCUUAACACAUGCAAGUCGAGCGAGAACCGGACCUUCGGGUCCGGGGACAGCGGCGAACGGGUGAGUAACACGUGGGUGACCUGCCCUCAGCUCUGGGAUAAGCCUGGGAAACUGGGUCUAAUACCGGAUAUGACCUGCUGUUGCAUGACAGUGGGUGGAAAGUUUUUCGGCUGGGGAUGGGCCCGCGGCCUAUCAGCUUGUUGGUGGGGUGAUGGCCUACCAAGGCGACGACGGGUAGCCGGCCUGAGAGGGCGACCGGCCACACUGGGACUGAGAUACGGCCCAGACUCCUACGGGAGGCAGCAGUGGGGAAUAUUGCGCAAUGGGCGAAAGCCUGACGCAGCGACGCCGCGUGGGGGAUGACGGCCUUCGGGUUGUAAACCUCUUUCGACCGGGACGAAGGGUGACUGACGGUACCGGUAGAAGAAGCACCGGCCAACUACGUGCCAGCAGCCGCGGUAAUACGUAGGGUGCGAGCGUUGUCCGGAAUUAUUGGGCGUAAAGAGCUCGUAGGCGGUGUGUCGCGUCGGUCGUGAAAACUUGGGGCUUAACCCUGAGCGUGCGGUCGAUACGGGCAUCACUUGAGUUCGGCAGGGGAGACUGGAAUUCCUGGUGUAGCGGUGAAAUGCGCAGAUAUCAGGAGGAACACCGGUGGCGAAGGCGGGUCUCUGGGCCGAUACUGACGCUGAGGAGCGAAAGCGUGGGGAGCGAACAGGAUUAGAUACCCCCGUAGUCC